This 434-nucleotide long non-coding RNA is filed under the name Chinchilla lanigera (long-tailed chinchilla). RNAcentral describes it as "lncRNA (ENSCLAG00000023557.1)". Lineage: Eukaryota; Metazoa; Chordata; Mammalia; Rodentia; Chinchillidae. The record is from RNAcentral.
GGAAAGUGAAGCUCAGGAAGGACUAGGAGCUGCCCCAAGACCACACAGCUAGUAACCAAGAGAGUCGAGAGAACGGCAGAGAGUGGAGCCCAAGAUCUCCAUCCCUAAAGCCCACAUUUCUGCUGCUGAUCGGACUGUGACCAUCCUCGAGGGCUGCCGUUCAGCGUUCCCCUGCAUCACGUCACUGGCCCAUCACCUGUGACUGCGUAGGGCUACCCAAGUGACCGCAGAGUAUUUUCUCAGGUCGCUGUGCUCUAGCAGAAGGGACUCUUCACCAAAGGGAAGCAAGUGCCGUUGUUAAAAACAAAACCAAAACCCGGAACAUCAGCUGGAUGAUUCAGUGAAGUACACAGCUGAGAUCAAAUUAGAACUGAUCUUUGGGUCUCAAAGCUUCAAAGGGACAAAAUCUCACAAGAGAAGAGUAAGUUUAUCAA